CCUACGGGAGACAGCAGUGAGGAAUAUUGGUCAAUGGGCGCGAGCCUGAACCAGCCAAGUAGCGUGAAGGAUGACUGCCCUACGGGUUGUAAACUUCUUUUAUAAAGGAAUAAAGUGAGGCACGUGUGCCUUGUUGUAUGUACGUUAUGAAUAAGGAUCGGCUAACGCCGUGCCAGCAGCCGCGGUAAUACGGAGGAUCCGAGCGUUAUCCGGAUUGAUUGGGUUUAAAGGGAGCGUAGAUGGGUUGUUAAGUCCGUUGUGAAAGUUUGCGGCUCAACCGUAAAAUUGCAAUUGAUACUGGCAGUCUUGAGUACAGUUGUGUUAGGCGGAUUUCGUGGUGUCGCGGU
This 347-nucleotide ribosomal RNA is filed under the name uncultured bacterium. RNAcentral's name for it is "partial 16S ribosomal RNA". It matches the Rfam family "Bacterial small subunit ribosomal RNA", at positions 338 to 682 of the family's 1533-position model. The record is from RNAcentral.